RNAcentral lists this small nuclear RNA (106 nucleotides) under Sciurus vulgaris (Eurasian red squirrel). The record is from RNAcentral. Lineage: Eukaryota; Metazoa; Chordata; Mammalia; Rodentia; Sciuridae.
GUGCUCGCUUCGGCAGCACGUAUACUAAAAUUGGAACGGUACAGAGAAGAUAAGCAUGGCUCUGCACAAGGAUGACACACAAAUUCGUGAAGUGUUCCGUAUUAAA